AACUUUCGGCAACGGAUCACUUGGCUCUCGCAUCGAUGAAGAACGCAGCGAAAUGCGAUAAGUAAUGUGACUUGCAGAAUUCAGUGAAUCAUCGAAUCUUUCAACGCACAUUGUGCUGCUUGGUAUUCCGAGGAGCAUGCCUGUUUGAGUGUCAUUAAUAUAUAUAUAUCAAACUUCUCUUGUUGAUUGGUUUGGAUGUGGGGGGUUUGCUGGCCUUUUUAAAAAGUUCAGCUCCUCUGAAAUGCAUUAGCAGAACAAACCUUGUUCAUUGGUGUGAUAACUAUCUACGCUAUUGAAUGUGAGGGGCAGUUCAGCUUUCUAACAGUCCGCGGACAAUUCAAUCAUUAAUGUGACCUCAAAUCAGGUAGGACUACCCGCUGAACUUAAGCAUAUCAAUAAGCGGAGGCU
Molecule: unclassified non-coding RNA, 408 nt
Filed under: uncultured Cortinarius
Lineage: Eukaryota; Fungi; Basidiomycota; Agaricomycetes; Agaricales; Cortinariaceae
Description: sequence contains ITS2
Rfam family: 5.8S ribosomal RNA (bases 1-154)
Source: RNAcentral